Molecule: long non-coding RNA, 422 nt
Organism: Pan troglodytes (chimpanzee)
Lineage: Eukaryota; Metazoa; Chordata; Mammalia; Primates; Hominidae
Exons: 3
Source: RefSeq, a predicted model, not a curated record
GUGGGGGGAGUGCGGUGGUGAUCAAUGGGCCUAGUCCAGAAGACUCUGUCUGUAUGUCCCAUAGGGAGGUCACAAACAAGUCCUUAUUGAGGGCAGAUAUCUGGACUCACCACAUUCAGUAACUGGGAGGGAGCUGAGAACUGGAAAUUUGGCUCACUUCUCAUGUUUACAUACAUCAUGAGUGGCAUCAAGUCAUAUCCUUGACUUUAGGAUAUCUGAACCUUUGGAAAUUGUAACUAGAAGUCUUAAAACAUUAGCUAUGUAUUGAUUCUCUCACCUUCAGAACAAUGGAAUGUCCUCUUUCAUAAGAGGUGGAGUUUUCCCAUGUUGCCCAUGCUGGUCUGGAACUCCUGAGCACAGGUGAUCCACCCGCUUCUGCCUCCCAAAGUGCUGGAAUUACAGGCAUGAGUGACUGCGCCUGA